Non-coding RNA from Coturnix japonica (Japanese quail), 595 nucleotides. The record is from the annotation of a RefSeq genome assembly. Lineage: Eukaryota; Metazoa; Chordata; Aves; Galliformes; Phasianidae.
AGCAGGGGCUGGCAGUGCAGCGCGGAGCGGGCGGCGGAGCGGCGGGAUGGGGCAGUGCCGGGCCGCGGGGCUGGCCGCAGUGCUCCUGGCAUUGGCUGCGUGCAGAGCCCAGGUGCAGCAGGAGCCUUCGGUAGAGACUAGAGAGGGCACCGGCAUCAACGUCACCUGCUCACACCCCAGCAUACAAGCCAAUUACAUCCACUGGUAUCGACAGCUCCCGGGCCGAGCCCACGCAUUCCUCGUCAGCGCUGUUACAGGCUCCAAGGAAGUUCCGGAUCCGAUGGGGCGGCUGUCGGUGUCGGCAGACCGCCGCUCCAGCGCCCUGUGGCUCGCCCGGCCCCGGCUCGGGGACGCGGCGGUGUAUUACUGCGCCGUGGACCCACGGGAAGCUAAGCUGGGGCUGCGGCCCGGCACGAACCGCAUUGGGCGUGGCGGGGGCACAGUGCCGUCUUGUGCCCGCAGGGGGCGAUGCAGCACCUCCGGCUGGGACCUCCCGAGCUGACAUUGCUGACAUUGCUGACAUUGCUGACAUGGAACAUGUCCCUCGCACUGCUCGGCAUCCUCCGGAGUAAGGCCUUCGAGCUGCACACCUUCA